AUUAGUUUGGACAGUGAUUUUCAUGAAGAGGAAUGAAGUCGCAUGUUGUUCUGUAACUAUGGGCAUUCAGCUAUCCAGCUUCCUUCUAGAAUGGUCAUUACAAUGGUAAAUGAAAUGGAAAUAACCAAGAUUAGUGGUAUCACAAGUGUUACUUCUAUCAUGCCAUGUCUGAAAGUAAGUAUGCAUAUGAUGGCACACCACUUUGUUGUUUAAGGAUUGUGCCAGCAAUCUUGAUUCAACACAGUGUGAUCUGUUGAUUAAGUACACCGAUGAAUUUAUAGGACCAAAUGGCCAACUGGGUAAAACCAAAGUCAUCAUCACAUAGCUAUCAUGCAGGCUUUUCUGGAGCAAUACAGAUGUAGCCAGUACUAAAGUACAGAGGAGGAUAAAGAAGGGAAUUAUACAGCCUUCAGGUAGUACUUAAUCAUCUCCAAUAGUGAUUGUCAGGAAGGAGAGCAUGCCAAAAUUUUAUUUUGAUUUCAUAUGGAUGAAUGUAGUAACUCCCGUUGAUUUCUUCCCAUUCCUGUAUGGUUUACCAUAAAUCAGCUGCUGAUGUAGAAGACCUGCUUUCAGGGCUUUAGAAAGGUUCAAGAGAGAAUUUCGAAAUAGAGUUCAACGACGUAACCAUCUCCGAAGGCGAGAAGAACAGUUCUUUGAGAUGAAUAGCUCAAACGUCACGGUGCUCUCAGCUAGACAGUCUUUUCCUGAAUCUGGAACUGGACAAACACAUUCCCAUUGAACGGACGCUAUCUUGUGGGACAAUUUCAACGAGUACAAGCCGAAACAGAUGUCAACGACCUGCGCUGAUGAUAUAUAAUAAUUUGGUUACCGAAUCACGAAUAUUUUAAUGUUGAUGUAUUUGUAUUUAACGGUGCGGGGCUGCAUAUAUGUAGUGGACAGUGAGAUUUGGUAUAUCAACCUGCAAACGGUAUUAAACAGAAAUUAUUUGAAUUGAAAAAUCAUAAUUGUUUUUUACUCUCCAGAUUAAAACAUGAACAGGUUGGUUUAUAGAAGAACAGUUGACAUGAAUAACUUAACUUAUUAAUUUACCACAGAUCCAAACAAAUAUUCUAUGGUAUGAAGAUUUGUUCUAAAAUAUUUUGUUGAAAUAUCGCUUAUGAACAUUUACUGUACACCUUCAUUAAUAAUAAUAGUGUUAAAACAAAGUUUUAUUUACCCCAAAUUUACCAUGAACUUCAAGAACUUUUUGAAAUAAUAACAUGCUCAAAUAUUUUAUUACAUAAGAGUGCACAGAAAGACCAAUACGUAAAUCAUAAUAAAGUUUAUUUUAUUGUUCAAUUUGUCAAAUAUCAAUUUUAUAUGAAAAUAAUAACUUUAUAAAGCAUUAAUACCUGCUCUGGGUUUCUCCUCAAAUGUAAGGUUUAUAAAAAUAUUAAGUGUUUAUUUUGCUCAAGUGAUCUUAUACAAAAAAAAUAUU
This is a long non-coding RNA of Limulus polyphemus (Atlantic horseshoe crab), 1438 nucleotides long. RefSeq lists it as uncharacterized. NCBI's taxonomy places the organism in Eukaryota, Metazoa, Arthropoda, Merostomata, Xiphosura, Limulidae. The record is from RefSeq and is a predicted model, not a curated record. The transcript is spliced from 3 exons.